GGCAGCGGGAGGCCGGCCCCCGUGCCGAGAGGCAUGAGGAAAGUCCCCCCACCCGUCGGACAGGUGACCGGGCACAAGCCCGGGGCGGGAGACCGUCGGCUAUGGAACAGCAACGACACGUCGUCCGGGGACCGAUGAGGUGCGCGAAUCCCGAACGAGGCCGUGUGUGGGCCGUUCGGCCCACGCUGCCGAAGCGAGGGAGAGCUAACCCACCGAGGGUCGAUAACGUGGCCCGCCUUCGGCGGCCCACGCUCCCCCGGACGGACCGAUGGAACGGCGAACCCUCACCGGUGCAAGGCCGCGUCGACAGGUAGUCCGACACCGCGCGCGAGCGCUGGACGCGGCCGCUCAGCCGAAUGGCGGCCCGAACAGAAGGGGGCUUACUCCCCGCAGCC
This 395-nucleotide RNase P RNA is filed under the name Halobacteriales archaeon QH_8_67_36. RNAcentral's name for it is "RNase P RNA component". It matches the Rfam family "Archaeal RNase P". From Rfam's summary of the family: Ribonuclease P (RNase P) is a ubiquitous endoribonuclease, found in archaea, bacteria and eukarya as well as chloroplasts and mitochondria. Its best characterised activity is the generation of mature 5'-ends of tRNAs by cleaving the 5'-leader elements of precursor-tRNAs. Cellular RNase Ps are ribonucleoproteins. The record is from RNAcentral. Lineage: Archaea; Methanobacteriati; Methanobacteriota; Halobacteria; Halobacteriales.